Long non-coding RNA from Octopus sinensis (East Asian common octopus), 277 nucleotides. RefSeq lists it as uncharacterized. Lineage: Eukaryota; Metazoa; Mollusca; Cephalopoda; Octopoda; Octopodidae. The record is from RefSeq and is a predicted model, not a curated record. The transcript is spliced from 3 exons.
UUUCUACCACUUCAAUAUCUUUCGUCUACAAAGUUUGUGAGGAGUUAGAGAUUGAAGAAGGAAACGUAUCGCCAGUAUCAAAGCAUAAAAAGCAUUCUAAACGCUCUGAAGUAGUCAGAACACCUGAAUUUAUCUAGCAAGUUUAACAGACCAUUAAUUACAAUCCCAGAAAUUCCACGAGGUCAAUUGCAAAAGAUCUACAUGUGUCAGAAGGUACAGUCAGAAAUGUCCACGAAGACAUGAAAUAUAUAUCAUAUAUGAUGAAGAAAGGUCAAUU